Molecule: transfer RNA, 84 nt
Filed under: Victivallales bacterium
Lineage: Bacteria; Pseudomonadati; Lentisphaerota; Lentisphaeria; Victivallales
Description: tRNA-Leu
Rfam family: tRNA
About the family: Transfer RNA (tRNA) molecules are approximately 80 nucleotides in length. Their secondary structure includes four short double-helical elements and three loops (D, anti-codon, and T loops).
Source: RNAcentral
GCACGGGUGGCGAAAUUGGCAUACGCGCCAGAUUUAGGUUCUGGUGUCUCAGACAUGUGGGUUCGAGUCCCACCCCGUGUACCA